CCUACGGGUGGCAGCAGUGAGGAAUAUUGGUCAAUGGACGAGAGUCUGAACCAGCCAAGUCGCGUGAAGGAUGACUGCCCUAUGGGUUGUAAACUUCUUUUAUAUGGGAAUAAAAUGUUCCACGUGUGGGAUUUUGUAUGUACCCUAUGAAUAAGGAUCGGCUAACUCCGUGCCAGCAGCCGCGGUAAUACGGAGGAUCCGAGCGUUAUCCGGAUUUAUUGGGUUUAAAGGGAGCGUAGGUGGAUUGUUAAGUCAGUUGUGAAAGUGUGCGGCUCAACCGUAAAAUUGCAGUUGAAACUGGCAGUCUUGAGUACAGUAGAGGUGGGCGGAAUGCGUGGUGUAGCGGUGAAAUGCUUAGAUAUCACGAAGAACUCCGAUUGCGAAGGCAGCAUGCCGGCUUCCGACUGACGCUGAAGCACGAAAGCGUGGGGAUCGAACAGGAUUAGAUACCCUUGUAGUC
This 460-nucleotide ribosomal RNA is filed under the name uncultured bacterium. Its description in RNAcentral is "partial 16S ribosomal RNA". It matches the Rfam family "Bacterial small subunit ribosomal RNA", at positions 338 to 795 of the family's 1533-position model. The record is from RNAcentral.